CUGUUCUACUAUUCUCUGCUUCUGUGUCUCUGUUUUUGUUUUUUUUUUCUCUUUUUUGCAGGUACCCAUGGUGGUUAACGACGAUUGGAAGCCACACUUUUCCAUUUCAGUGAAAUGGUGGCAGGGGAGGCGUGGGGACUUUGGGAGACAUGCUUGCUGAUGCGGCAAAGGCGGCGACUGGAAGGGCUAAAGGGAAAUUAGGGUUCUUGAUGUGUUUAGGAUAGUGGACUUUGGGCUUAGGUUUUUUUAGAUUUUAGGGUUUGAAAAUGGAUUUGGUCAUUGGGCUUGUAAAUUGGACUGUUAAUGAACUUUUAUUUUUUUGUUUUAUUUGUUUGGGCCGGGCAAAAUUGGGCUUAUACAAUACUGAUGAAACAAUUGUUUCAUACAUAAUGAUGAAUACGAAGAAAUUACCUAUUUUUUCUUUUUGGGUUAAAAAUUACCUAGAGCAAGGGUG
Molecule: long non-coding RNA, 454 nt
Filed under: Gossypium raimondii (Peruvian cotton)
Lineage: Eukaryota; Viridiplantae; Streptophyta; Magnoliopsida; Malvales; Malvaceae
Description: long non-coding RNA (GRAI_LNC001809)
Source: RNAcentral